Molecule: long non-coding RNA, 234 nt
Filed under: Trifolium pratense (red clover)
Lineage: Eukaryota; Viridiplantae; Streptophyta; Magnoliopsida; Fabales; Fabaceae
Description: long non-coding RNA (TPRA_LNC013768)
Source: RNAcentral
CGAUGAUGAUGUUGUCUAAUUCCAAUUCAAAACCACGGAUAUCCGUUACUCGAGCAAACCGUGCGAAUCCAAAUCUUCUACCUCCCGCAUCGCGUUUGGUAGGAAUAACAACUUCUGUAACGUUGCCAUAAUAUUUGAAAGCUCUGAGCAUGGCAAGUGCACCGAAACUGUCCGGGAAGCUCGUAAAAAAGUAUGUCGUGAUAUCAUUUGGGUGUUCGUUGUGCGAUGAUAUUG